AGGAAUAUAGCUCAGUGGUAGAGCACUUGCCUAGCAUGCAUGAGCCCCUGGGUUCAAUCCCCAGUACUA
RNAcentral lists this transfer RNA (69 nucleotides) under Heterocephalus glaber (naked mole-rat). It matches the Rfam family "tRNA". Rfam says of the family: Transfer RNA (tRNA) molecules are approximately 80 nucleotides in length. The record is from Rfam by way of RNAcentral. Lineage: Eukaryota; Metazoa; Chordata; Mammalia; Rodentia; Bathyergidae.